RNAcentral lists this microRNA precursor (51 nucleotides) under Echinops telfairi (small Madagascar hedgehog). RNAcentral describes it as "miRNA (ENSETEG00000024548.1)". The record is from RNAcentral. Lineage: Eukaryota; Metazoa; Chordata; Mammalia; Afrosoricida; Tenrecidae.
GCCAACUGGGCUGGGCUGGGCUGGGCUGGGCUGGGGCAGGGGGGCAGUCCC